GAGUGGCGCAAGGGUGAGUAAUGCAUAGAUUACCUGCCUCCGGGAUAAGGACAACUUUGUGAAAACGGAGCUAAUACUUAAUAAUACAAAAGAGAAUAAUUUUCUUUUGUCAAUGGGAGGGUAGCAAUACCUUUUGCCUGGAGAGGGGUUUAUGUCCUAUCAGCUUGUUGGUGGGGUAAUGGCCUACCAAGGCGAAGACGGGUAGCCGGACUUAGUGGUUGUUCGGCCACACUGGGACUGAGNCACUGCCCAGACUUCUACGGAAGGCUGCANUCGAGAAUCUUUCGCANUGCCCGAAAGGGUGACGAANCGACGCCGCGUGGGUGAGGAAGGCCUUCGGGUUGUAAAGCCCUGUCAGGAGUUAAGAAAUGUAAGUGCGCUAAUAUCGCAUUUAUUUGACGAAGGCUCCAAAGGAAGUCACGGCUAACUCUGUGCCAGCAGCCGCGGUAAUACAGAGGUGGCAAGCGUUGUUCGGAAUUAUUGGGCGUAAAGAGCACGUAGGUGGGUUUGUAAGUCAGAUGUGAAAGCCUUCUGUUCAACGGAAGAAUUGCAUCUGAAACUGCGAGUCUUGAGUGUAGGAGGGGAGAAUGGAAACUUCUGGUGGAGCGGUGAAAAUGCGUAGAUAUCAGAAGGAACGCCGGCGGCGAAAGCGAUUCUCUGGCCUAUUACUGACACUCAGUGUGCGAAAGCUAGGGGAGCAAACGGGAUUAGAUACCCCGGUAGUCCUAGCCGUAAACGAYGGGCACUAAGUAGAGGGGAUUACCGAUAUUCUCUCUGCCGUAGCUAACGCAUAAAGUGCCCCGCCUGGGGAGUACGGCCGCAAGGCUAAAACUCAAAAAGAAUUGACGGGGGCUCGCACAAGCGGUGGAGCAUGUGGCUUAAUUCGAUGCAACGCGAAAAACCUUACCGGGGCCUGACAUGGUAGAAGUAGGAACCCGAAAGGGUAACGAACGGUAUCCAGUCCGUAGCUAUUACAGGUGUUGCAUGGCUGUCGUCAGCUCGUGUCGUGAGACGUUGGGUUAAGUCCCCUAACGAGCGAAACCCUUGUUUUUAGUUGCCAUCGGGUUGCGCCGGGAACUCUAGAAAGACUGCCGUCGUCAAGACGGAGGAAGGUGGGGACGACGUCAAGUCAUCAUGGCCCUUAUGCCCCGGGCUGCACACGUGCUACAAUGGUCGGUACAAACGGAAGCGAAGCCGAGAGGUGAAGCGAAUCCUAAAAAGCCGAUCUCAGUUCGGAUUGGAGGCUGAAAUUCGCCUCCAUGAAGUUGGAAUCGCUAGUAAUCGCGGAUCAGCAGUGCCGCGGUGAAUAUGUUCCCGAGCCUUGUACACACCGCCCGUCAAGCCACCCAAGCAGGAUGCACCCGAAAACAUUAUAUCUAACCAGGGCAACUUGGGGGAAAAUGUUGAAGGAGUGUUUUGUGAGGAGGACUAAGUCGUAACAAGGUAGUCGUAGGAGAACCUGCGGCUGGAUCACCUCCUUUCU
Molecule: ribosomal RNA, 1483 nt
Filed under: Candidatus Scalindua marina (nom. nud.)
Lineage: Bacteria; Pseudomonadati; Planctomycetota; Candidatus Brocadiia; Candidatus Brocadiales; Candidatus Scalinduaceae
Description: Candidatus Scalindua marina 16S ribosomal RNA
Rfam family: Bacterial small subunit ribosomal RNA
Source: RNAcentral